AUGGCGACGGGGGCGGUGCUCUCCUCCUCCUCUUCUUCACCAGCAGCAGCAGGAAAGCAUGACACCAUGAUGAUGAUCAGCUACUCCUCUACGUCGUCGCCGCGCACCAGGUGGCCGGUGUGCUCCCAGCUGGUUGCCGGAGACAGAAACGGAGGGACCGGCCGGCAUGUCGCCAGGAGCACCGGGAACCAACUCUCUGCCCACAUUCAGCAGCCUCUGCUAAACUCUCCUCCAAUGAGGCUCUGCAACAACAAUGCAGGCCUGCUGAAGAGGAGGCUCCUGUCAAGGGUCGACUGCUUCCUACUGUCCUCCGACCCUGUUACAAAUGGCUGGCAGAAACCCAGGAACCUCGCCGGCCUCGACAGCGCCGGCGUGCUGCAGCCCGAGUACAGGGCGCCCGUCAGAAAGCAGCGCGGAGACUGCAGGGCCGAGCAGUACGAGAUGACCGGGGCGCCAAUGGGCGACGUCCCCGCCGAGGCGGCCGUCCUGGUCGGAGGAGACGCUGCUAGCCCAGAGGCCGUUUCUUCUCCCGCGUGGUGGCAGCAGUUCCCCAAGCGCAUGACCAUCGUCGUCCUCUGCUUCUUCUCCUUCCUGCUCUGCAACAUGGACCGUGUCAACAUGAGUAUCGCCAUCCUGCCAAUGUCAGCAGAGUUCGGCUGGAGCCCGGCAACCGUUGGCCUCAUCCAGUCUUCUUUCUUUUGGGGUUACCUUCUCACUCAGAUUCUUGGAGGCAUUUGGGCUGACCGGUUUGGCGGCAAGGUGGUGCUUGGGUUCGGGGUUGUAUGGUGGUCUAUUGCAACAAUUCUUACACCAUUUGCUGCCAAGCUUGGCCUUCCGUUCCUACUCGUCGUGCGUGCUUUCAUGGGGAUAGGCGAGGGUGUCGCCAUGCCGGCCAUGAACAACAUCCUUUCCAAAUGGAUCCCGGUUUCAGAGAGGAGCAGAUCUCUUGCAUUAGUAUACAGUGGAAUGUACCUUGGUUCAGUUACCGGCCUAGCCUUCUCACCUUUCCUGAUAAGCAAAUUCGGCUGGCCUUCUGUUUUCUACGGAUUUGGGUCCCUGGGAAGCAUCUGGUUUACACUGUGGCAACUCAAAGCACGCAGCUCCCCGAGCGAAGACCCGGAAGUAACCGAAGAUGAGAAGAGGCACAUACUAGGUGGUAGUACCAUAAAGGAGCCUGUUAGCUCCAUACCAUGGAAGUUAAUCCUAUCAAAGCCUGCAGUAUGGGCUCUCAUAGUAUCCCAUUUUUGCCAUAACUGGGGAACAUUCAUCCUCCUAACAUGGAUGCCCACAUACUACAAUCAGGUUCUGAAGUUCAAUCUCACCGAGUCCGGGCUUCUCUGUGUCUUGCCAUGGCUGACAAUGGCCGUGUUUGCAAAUAUUGGUGGCUGGAUAGCUGACACACUUGUCGCGAAAGGGGUUUCGAUAACAAAUGUUCGCAAGAUCAUGCAAUCUAUCGGUUUUCUUGGACCGGCCUUGUUCCUGACGCUGCUGAGCAAAGUCCGCACACCGGCCAUGGCGGUGCUGUGUAUGGCAUGCAGUCAGGGGAGUGAUGCUUUUUCACAGUCUGGGCUGUACUCGAACCACCAGGAUAUAGGACCGCGCUACGCGGGGGUGCUUCUUGGGCUGUCGAACACCGCCGGCGUGCUUGCAGGAGUUUUUGGUACUGCUGCCACUGGCUACAUUCUUCAGAAAGGCUCUUGGGACAGUGUGUUCCAGGUGGCUGUUCUGCUGUACAUAGUAGGGACAGUGGUGUGGAACGUCUUUUCGACCGGAGAGAGGAUCCUCGAAUAA
Molecule: ribosomal RNA, 1791 nt
Filed under: Triticum aestivum (bread wheat)
Lineage: Eukaryota; Viridiplantae; Streptophyta; Magnoliopsida; Poales; Poaceae
Description: partial small subunit ribosomal RNA
Source: RNAcentral